GUGAUGCCAAUACUUCUGGGGAGCACUAUCAGAGAACCACUGCCUGACAAAAGGGGUUUACUUUAGACCUGCAAAGAACCUCCUCAUGGUGGGACAGUGAGUCACAGUAUGUGGCAGCCUUGAGAGGAUGGGAUAGUGCACUUAACCACUGUGGUCUUCCUUGCAGAAAUAUACUCACCUGACAGAGGAGCCUGGUGGGCUGCCGUCUAUGGGGUGGCACAGAGUCGGACACGACUGAAGCAACUUAGCAGCAGCAGCAGCAGCAGUGUAUCACCCAGGUGGCGCUAGUGGUAGAGAAACUGCCUGCCAGUGCAGGAGAGUUCCAAGACAAUGUGCUCAAGGUGGUGGUUGAAAUGAAGGGCGGUCAGAGUCCUUUCCCCAGACAAUAUUUUGCUGCUGGUCCCCUCAGCCUUUUGGAUGCUUAUUGUUUACAGUUCCUGCCAUGGUAUCUGACGAGGUUCCAGACAAUAAGUAUCAACCAUACCUGGCAGGGGCUCCCAGGGGAUAAGACUGCAGAGUUACAUGUGAAAUGCAAAAUUUGAAGCAGAAGGCUCUCAUCACCUGGAAUUUUCUCUCCCUAAAAUUGAGCAACAAUACUGGAAAUAGUGACAACUUACAAGAGUUCGUCUAGGGCACCAGGCGCCAUUCUAAUGGGUUCAUUUCAGCCCCACAGAGGCACAGAGAAGGUAACAUGGAUACAAAGAUGAAAAAGAGAUGGUAGGACUGCCCUCGAGAAAUGUAGAGGAGAUAAACACCCAAGCAAACAAGCCAACAAAAUCCCAAACAGCCCCCAGUAAAGGCCAAUAGAAAGAGCUCCAGCAGGAAUCUUGGGUUUCCUCUGAAAGCUCCUCUGGCAGGCUUGCCUGGCUGUGCGUCCAUGUCUACCGCCAAAACAAACAUGUUGCAGGGGUGUUGUUCAUGCAUUGCCCUCGAAAACUCUUGCUGUCACGGGAUCACCCUCUUCCUGCUGAUGGAUGGUCAUUAUCUGACUCUGUUGCCAUGGAGAGGGAUGGACUCAGGUGUGUUUUUCAAGCCUGCAUAUUCCCACUGGGGCUGCAACAAGGAUGCUUCUGUACGUCAUGUUUGGCAAGCCUGUGGCAGGCUGUGGCCAGGCUUUUCCUGCAGGUCAAACCUAAUCAACUGAUCAGCUGCAGAUCAUAUCAAGACCUCUGCUUGAUACGUUAUUAGUGACAGACAUGCUUCCAUAAUGAAUAUCAUGAUGUCAUUUGACCAUAACGUUGUUGAGGUGGGGAAAGAAAACACUCCAGUCAUCAGACUUGGGAUGAGAAGGGCUUGUGUUCACAGAAACACAACUUCACGUCACUGUUUCUCACGAAGGACUGUUUUGUUCUUGAAGACUGCUGCUCAUCCUCUGAUGUUGAUUUCCUAUGUUACAACGACCUCGAUUCGUAUGCCCUGGCAAGCAGCACAAGCACUGUUUCCUGUUUCUGAACUUGUAGACAACCAUCCAUACGUCUCAUGGUUGUCAAUUCAACCAGAUAACUGUGGCACCUCCUUGAUGCUUUUUUAAAGGACCUUGGAAAUGAAGUUUUUAAUUUUUUUGGAUAGGGUAUUCUUAAUUCAUUUGGCUAAAUUUUCAUAUGACUAAUAAUCUAAAAUGAAAGUAAGUAUAAACUUGUGUCCCUGUU
This is a long non-coding RNA of Bos taurus (domestic cattle), 1649 nucleotides long. NCBI's taxonomy places the organism in Eukaryota, Metazoa, Chordata, Mammalia, Artiodactyla, Bovidae. The record is from Ensembl.